RNAcentral lists this transfer RNA (84 nucleotides) under Bacteroidota bacterium. RNAcentral's name for it is "Bacteroidetes bacterium tRNA-Leu". It matches the Rfam family "tRNA". From Rfam's summary of the family: Transfer RNA (tRNA) molecules are approximately 80 nucleotides in length. Their secondary structure includes four short double-helical elements and three loops (D, anti-codon, and T loops). Lineage: Bacteria; Pseudomonadati; Bacteroidota. The record is from RNAcentral.
GCUUUCGUGAUGAAACUGGGAAACAUGCUAGACUAAGAAUCUAGUGCUAGAAAUGGCUUGUGGGUUCGACUCCCACCGGAAGCA